UUUUAGCCCCGAUAGUAGCGACAUCCUUUUUGGGCGGUGUUCGCCCGAAAAGAUAUAGCGGAUAGCGGGAUUAGCU
This 76-nucleotide small RNA is filed under the name Flavobacterium sp. KMS. RNAcentral describes it as "Flavo-1 RNA". It matches the Rfam family "Flavo-1 RNA". The record is from Rfam by way of RNAcentral. Lineage: Bacteria; Pseudomonadati; Bacteroidota; Flavobacteriia; Flavobacteriales; Flavobacteriaceae.